RNAcentral lists this ribosomal RNA (1018 nucleotides) under Prevotella intermedia. RNAcentral describes it as "bacterial SSU rRNA". It matches the Rfam family "Bacterial small subunit ribosomal RNA", at positions 28 to 1037 of the family's 1533-position model. The record is from RNAcentral. Lineage: Bacteria; Pseudomonadati; Bacteroidota; Bacteroidia; Bacteroidales; Prevotellaceae.
GAUGAACGCUAGCUAUAGGCUUAACACAUGCAAGUCGAGGGGAAACGGCAUUAUGUGCUUGCACACUUUGGACGUCGACCGGCGCACGGGUGAGUAUCGCGUAUCCAACCUUCCCUCCACUCGGGGAUACCCCGUUGAAAGACGGCCUAAUACCCGAUGUUGUCCACAGAUGGCAUCUGACGUGGACCAAAGGUUCAUCGGUGGAGGAUGGGGAUGCGUCUGAUUAGCUUGUUGGUGCGGGUAACGGCCCACCAAGGCGACGAUCAGUAGGGGUUUGAGAGGAAGGUCCCCCACAUUGGAACUGAGACACGGUCCAAACUCCUACGGGAGGCAGCAGUGAGGAAUAUUGGUCAAUGGACGUAAGUCUGAACCAGCCAAGUAGCGUGCAGGAUUGACGGCCCUAUGGGUUGUAAACUGCUUUUGUUGGGGAGUAAAGUGAGGCACGCGUGCCUUUUUGCAUUUACCCUUCGAAUAAGGACCGGCUAAUUCCGUGCCAGCAGCCGCGGUAAUACGGAAGGUCCAGGCGUUAUCCGGAUUUAUUGGGUUUAAAGGGAGUGUAGGCGGUCUGUUAAGCGUGUUGUGAAAUUUAGGUGCUCAACAUUUAACUUGCAGCGCGAACUGGCGGACUUGAGUGCACGCAACGUAUGCGGAAUUCAUGGUGUAGCGGUGAAAUGCUUAGAUAUCAUGACGAACUCCGAUUGCGAAGGCAGCGUACGGGAGUGUUACUGACGCUUAAGCUCGAAGGUGCGGGUAUCGAACAGGAUUAGAUACCCUGGUAGUCCGCACGGUAAACGAUGGAUGCCCGCUGUUAGCGCCUGGCGUUAGCGGCUAAGCGAAAGCAUUAAGCAUCCCACCUGGGGAGUACGCCGGCAACGGUGAAACUCAAAGGAAUUGACGGGGGCCCGCACAAGCGGAGGAACAUGUGGUUUAAUUCGAUGAUACGCGAGGAACCUUACCCGGGCUUGAAUUGCAGACGCAGGAUACAGAGAUGUUGACUCCCUUCGGGGCGUCUGUGAAG